GGGAGUGUAGCUCAAUGGAUAGAGCGCUGCGCUUCGGACGCAGAUGUUGUGGGUUCGAGUCCUACCACUCUCA
RNAcentral lists this transfer RNA (73 nucleotides) under Lusitaniella coriacea LEGE 07167. RNAcentral describes it as "tRNA-Arg". It matches the Rfam family "tRNA". From Rfam's summary of the family: Transfer RNA (tRNA) molecules are approximately 80 nucleotides in length. Their secondary structure includes four short double-helical elements and three loops (D, anti-codon, and T loops). Lineage: Bacteria; Bacillati; Cyanobacteriota; Cyanophyceae; Spirulinales; Lusitaniellaceae. RNAcentral also lists the same sequence under 1 other name. The record is from RNAcentral.